UGCAAACAUAGUAGGGGGUCUAAGCGCAUGUUGAAGUAAGUGUCCAAGUGAGAAAGAUGGAGAAACCUUUGAGAAAUGGUACUCCUCAGGUGGCUGAACUCCUUUUAGUUCUAAAGUAAGAAGUUCAGGUUGUUCCCUACUUGAGUCUAGAUAUCUGAUCAUGCUGUUGUUUGUAUCAGCUAUGAAAAGUCUUCCUGCAAUUCAGGGAGCAGCAAUUAGACAAUUGCUUGUAAGUUGUAACUGGUUUAAUUGAAUGGAACAAGAAUUGAAAA
Molecule: long non-coding RNA, 272 nt
Organism: Tripterygium wilfordii
Lineage: Eukaryota; Viridiplantae; Streptophyta; Magnoliopsida; Celastrales; Celastraceae
Exons: 2
Source: RefSeq, a predicted model, not a curated record